RNAcentral lists this ribosomal RNA (45 nucleotides) under Ceylonthelphusa scansor. Its description in RNAcentral is "partial 12S ribosomal RNA". Lineage: Eukaryota; Metazoa; Arthropoda; Malacostraca; Decapoda; Parathelphusidae. The record is from RNAcentral.
GUCGUAACAUAGUANNUGUACUGGAAAGUGUAUCUGGAAUUACAU